GUGCGUGCAUGCAUUGCAGAGCAAAUCAGAGGCAAAAAUUUCCCGGGUUUUCCUCCCCCUUCCCAGGCUCUUUUGGGAGCACAGGAGUGAACAGAGGGAUUGCUAUAGGGCUGAUCUUGCUGGAGGGGCUGCUCCCUCUCCACAGGUACAGCAGGACCCUGCAAGCAGGCUGGGACUUAGGGGAGACGGCAGGGGAGAUGGCAGGACCCAAGUCCCUGUGCGGAGACCGGACGCUUUCUUCCACCUCGGGGCUUCCUGUUUGAAACGCUACAAAUUGGAGACAGCAGCCUUGGCAUUCUAGGACUUAAGUCAUGAAGUCAGCAAGGGAAAAACCCCCAAAGUGCCCAGCUGUAGCAAUCACAGAUUCAAGAAAAGUGGUUGCAAAAGUGCACAAAAAGCACUAAGCAAAAAUGGCCUGAAAGGAUUCAAGAAAAGUGCUUGUGAAAGAGCACACAAAGCAUCAGAAAACUGGCCUGAAAG
RNAcentral lists this long non-coding RNA (480 nucleotides) under Apteryx owenii (little spotted kiwi). RNAcentral describes it as "lncRNA (ENSAOWG00000018390.1)". Lineage: Eukaryota; Metazoa; Chordata; Aves; Apterygiformes; Apterygidae. The record is from RNAcentral.